UCAUUAUUUUCAAUUUAAAAUGGCGGAAGAGAAAGUGACUAUGGAUGUCCGAAAUGACGGUGUUCCCCUCAUCAGAUCAUCCAAUCCGACGGUGAAUGUUCAUGCUAUUCAAAGUAAGCUUAUAGUGAUUACCUACUAUUCUAAUCUUAAUAUUUUGAAAUUAAGUGAACAAAUUUUUAAUCUACAAUCUUUUUACAAACUUUUAUUUCCUUUUCAUAAGACAUCUUUAAAUAUGAAUUGCCUUUUAAGUUAUUACUCCCUUGAAUUUGUGAAUCAAAUACCAAAAUAAUGAGUAGUGGUAGUACUGCUUAUAGAAUAAAAACCACAAGUGGGUUUGCCUGUCAGGAAGCAACCACCAAGAAAACAAUUGCUCUAAAAUACUUAUAGCAAAACAUUACAUGUUGCAACACAAUUGAAAUUUUUGAUAAAAAACCGAUCAAACAAAAACCUCCAAAAUACAAACUUUGUCCAUUAAAAAAGAAAAAAAGUUACAUAUUAACCAAACUAACUAGAAAAGUAAUCUGUAACAAAAUAUUUGUAUUUUAUUUUUGAAUAAUAUAUGAAUAAUAAUAGUAAAUAUUUUAUAUACAAUUUAUUGGUUCGAUUUAGUUUUUUUUUUUUUUCAGUAAAACCAAACCAAAUAAUUUCAUUUAAAAAAAAAAUUAAAAUCAAACCAAAUGUCAGAUUUUUUUAAUCAGAAAACCAAACCACGAACAAUCCUACUCUCUUUGUUUCAUUCUACCUGGACUUUGUUGAUUUGGUCCACCGCUUAAGAAAACUUAAAUUAGGAGUGUGUUUUAGCAAAUUAACUUUAUUAAUGAUGUUUUGAAACAUUAAAUUUGAAUAUUACUUACUUUUUUAUUUAGUUAAGUAAAGGUAAAAGGAGAAAAAUAUAAUAAAAUUAUCUUGAUUUCAUAAAUUGAAUAAGUAAAUUAUAUUGAAAAAACUAUUUUUAGUGUAAGAGACAAGUAAAAUGAAAUGGACGGAGUAUUAUUAGAUCUUAUUUGUUUCACAUUGUACUAUUUUUAAUUAUCUUUAAUUAUAUAUAUUAUAUUGUUUGAUGUUUAAUAUUAUUAUUUUAUGUAUAGAAUUAAAAUGUUGUAAAGAUCGAGAAAUCUGGAGUGAAAAUGUGAAGGAAAAAAAAAGGAAAAAUAUACUAAUUAAAUAAUGGGGGACAAUGUAAGAAUUUAAAGGAAUUAAAUGAAUUACGAAAAAUAAAAGAAAAAAAAUUGCCGAAAAAAUUAUUCUCCUUUUCUUCAUUGAAUGAUAACUUUGUACAAUGGCCUAUGUAUAUAUACAAGUAAGAGAACAAAAGCAAAACCAAACCUAAACACCUAAGGACUCCUAAAUAUGGUAAAGAAUAAUAAAGAAAUACACUCCUAAAUAAAGUAGGAUAUUAGCCUAAAUAGGGAUACAAAAGAUUAAUUUAGAGUGUACAAAAGGAAAUAAAUAAUAUUUACAAAGAUUUUCUGAAUAUGGAAUGAAAUAAAUGUGUUGAGGUUAAUAAUAUUCAGGUUGACACAAGUAAUUCACUGCAGUAGACGAAUAUACAAAUCAGAUGAAAUAGAUCAAUCAACCCGGUCCAAUGAAUAAAUUACAAUAUAAUCUCAACCCCCCCCCCCUCCUCAAGUUGGAGGGGACGAACGAAUACCUAACUUGCGCAAACACUGUGAUGACGAGGACCUGUAAGUGAUUUUAUGAAUAGAUCAACUAAUUGAGAGGUAUAUGGAAUAAAUGAAAGUGAAAUAAGUCCAUCCAACAACUUUUUUCGAGUGAAAUGACAAUUAAUCUCAGCAUGCUUUGUUCUCUCAUGAAACACGGAGGUUCUUAGCAAUACGUAUUGCUACCUGACUAUCUAAAUGUGGAGGAAUAAAAAUGAUAUUGGAAUGGAAAUAUCUUGAAAGAGAUGAACCAACUAUGUGAUCUCGGCAACGACGCGCCUCAUAGAAGGUACUCAGCCUCUGCUGUGUUAAGAGAAAAAAAGGUUUUCUUCUUUGACUUCCAAGAGAUUCGAGAACCCCCAAGUGAUAUAUAAAAUCCACAAACCAAUUUUCUUGAAUUUUAACACAUUUCCCAAUCUGAUUCAUAAAAAUUAUGAAGCUCAAAAGAGGAAAAGGCAUUGAGAAAAAUGACCAAACCUGGUUGCUUUGAUAAGUAACGAAGAACACGUAAUGCAGCAGUGUGAUGAGUUAGACAAGGAUCUUGCAUGAAUUGGCUAAAAUAUUGAAAAAUGAAGGCAAGAUCCGACUUUGUGUGAGUAACGUAAUGCAACUUACCAAGAAGAUGUCUAUAUAUAGUGGGAUUAGGAAUAACAUCCCCGUCAUUUACCCUUAGCUUUAUUAUAGGAUCAAGAGGAGAUGAAAUAGGAGACAUAUGUGUGACAUCAAAUUAUUUUAGGAGAUUAAUUAAGAACUUUCAUUGUUAAAGUAUGAUACCAUGAGGUUCCUCAAUAUCUCUAUGCCUAAGAAAAAAUGUAAAUCUCCCAAAUCCUUUAUUUUAAACUCCUCAUGUAGAAAUAACUUCAAUGCGUUGCGAUACCCCAUACUUUUUUCUAGCUCAGUUUACCUCUUAAAAUAUCAAGGGUAAACUUUAAAAAAAGAUAACCCUUUAUACGAGUAGAAUUUUCCAGUUGUAGACCCGUGAACAUGUAGAUAAUUGAACCAUCUUUCCAAUGAUACCAAUUUCACCUUUAUUCGAUACUUGGUUAAGAAGUUAUGGUGAUUUUAAUGAAAAUAGUAGAACACCACGAUAAGCACUCCGUCAUGGCGAGGGAAAAAUUUGCAAUUGUUCGAUUUUCAGUGGAGUACCGCGAUUAGCUUGCGUCAUGGAGAAGUUCCAAUUCCCGUUCGUCCCAUUUCAGAAGGUCAAUGCAAUUUGCCUGUAUCGCGUCAAAAUUUUCAAUUAGACAGACACCACAUCGCAGUGGAGUGCAAAAUGACACUCUUCCUUUUCUAGUGACGCCAAAGCCCAAAAUGGCGUUCAUCCAUUUUCCAGUAAGCUACCGUGAUUGUACCACAUCGCGGUGGGGCUCAAAAUUGGGAUUUUCAUUUUCGAGUAAAAUUUUUAAAAAGGCAAUUUAGUCAUUCAUCAAGCCCCCAAAUUGUGAGAAACAAGGAAUUUAACCUAUCCUAAGUACAUUAUGCAUACUUUUCGUCAAAAUUACUCUCCAAGAAAAUCCUAGAACUAAAAUCUUAAACCUCAAGAAUCCAAAUUCCACCAUUCUUUUUCAAAGAUAACCCAAAAUUCAAUAUAUUUAAGAAAUCAUCUUCAAAAGUACAAAUAGGAAUUCAAUUUCAAGUUUAUUUGUAAAUUUCAACAAUUGAGCUAUGUAGGAUUUUCAACAUGUAUAAUUCUUUCAUCCUUGUGCCCAAAAUUAUUUUUAAAACUGAAUUCUAUAUGUAAUUUUAUAAAUUUCAGUUUAGGAUUUAUACCCACGUAUUACUAUUUGAAAAUUAUGAGAUUUUGAGAGAUUUAGAUGUUGAAUUGCAUGUCUACUUUCGUACAUUUAUGCGUAUUGCUGAAAUUUUUAGAUUUUGAAUUGAAUUAUCAAUAUUUUCAUUAUCAAGCAUGAACUUUAUGAUGAUUUGACAUGAAUUUGAUGCAUGGAUUUUUAAGCCCUAGUUUAACAUUGAUAUUUUAAGAAUGACAAUGCUUUAAGCAUCCUAUAAUUAGUUAUUUUCAGAUUGUUAUAAAGAUUCGAUCUUUGACCCUCCGUUAAGAUAUGGAAUCCACUUUACAGUUUUAUUACAGUUUACAGAAAAUAGAUUUAUCUUUGCUUGCAGUUUGAAAUAGAUAGAUGCAUAAUUAGUUUUCAUUAUAAAUCCUUAUGCUAGUUUUAAAAGUGGAUGUCCAACAAAAUGAGCAUAUUGAUUAAAGAGAGUAGUAUUUAGCACCAAGUUGGAUAUGUUCUCAUGUCCUGAAAAUCCGAUCCAAUGUAGGUACAGAUUAUAGGAUUAUUCCCAUUUCUAUAUGGAUGACAGUUAUAGAUGUGAUCACAUAGAUUAGGUUAUACUCCUUAGCAAGAGUAUGACAUCUCCUCCCCAACGUGAGGUUUUCCCAUAAGGGAACUAGACGUUGGAUACUAUGAUAGCUCACAUAGUGUAUGCGAUUAGAAGAAACUCCCUACUGCUUACAGAAAAGAGUAAAGAAUAACAAAAAAAUCUUUUAGAAACUAAGUGUAAAGGCUCAUGAUUUUAUUCAGAUAUUGUUUUAUACAAGUCAUUAGCUACUAGAUUUCAGCUUUCAGUUUACAGAUAUAAAAGUGAGUCCUUUCUACACUUAGACAGUAAGAUUUCCAGAUAGAAUACAAGUAUAACUUUUAGAACUAUUUGUUAUGACUCACUAGAUUUAUAUAACAUGUUUUAUCACUCAUGAUCAUGAUUCUCAGUUUUUAGUUAUUUAAGCUAUUGCAAGUCAUCUAUACUUAGCAUACAUUUUUUUUUUGUAAAUUUACACUAAUUUUGAGAUAUUGUUUUACUUAUGCAUUCACCUCCAUAUACUCAGUAUAUUCCAGAAGUACUAAUCCACAUAUACGUUUAUGUUCUACAUUGUCUCAUAAUGUAGGUUUAGGUGACCAGUUUUAGUAGCAUGAGUGAUUUCGAGCAUCUCUUUCUAUAUCCCGAUACUUGGUAAGUCCUCAUAGUUUGGAAACCCAGUCAUUCAGAUUUUCUAGUUUAUUACAGUAGUUGAUUCAGUAUUUUUUAGUAAGUUCAAGUCAGCUAGGGACUUGUUCCAGUGGCUCUGUAGUUUUUAGUAGUAGAGGCUUGUCAGACUGCUAGACAAAGUUCAUAUUUUUAGUAUCUCUUUACUAGACUUUGAGUAUAAUAUUUUUAGAUACUUUGAUCAAAUGAUUUCAUCUUAGAUUAUACAGACUUCCACAUUGAUAUUAUGUUCAUAUUUCUCUAUUUAUGAGUAUCCAGAUUUAGUAGAAGGCUUAUAGGUUUAGCUUAAGGCUACUUGUAGUUUUGAGCAUUAAGUGAUGUCUCGGAACCCAUUUUUGGAGCUUUACAAACUUAGUAUCAGAGCCUAAGGUAAUAAGAGUCCUAGGGAGUCAUACAAGAUGUAUUACAUAGAGUUUUGAUCAUGAAUGUAAAGUGCACUACAUUUAUGAGCAAGAGACUACGGGAUAUUUUUAGGAAAUCAUCUCUUUCUUUUAUGAUCUAUUAUGCUUACAGUAUCUAUAUCUUCUUUUAACUCGUACUUUUAUAUGACAGUUGAAUAUGCUUCCUCGCCAAGCUAAUGUACGAAGAAAUGAUAACUAUCUACCCUAACCCAUUGAUCCUCUAAAUGAUAAUGUAUCCCAUGCUGAAUUUAGGGGUGUCUUUCAGGUGUUAGCCCAAGUUAUGACUGCUAAUGUUUAGAGCAACCAUCAGGUGGUAGUCCCACUUCAGCAGAAUAGGGAUUUGUAGAAUCCAAAAUUUAUGACUUCAUGAGAAUGAAUCCGCCUGAGUUCUUUAGAUCAAGAGCAGAUGAGGACCCACAACUUUACAUAGAGGAGAUAAGAAAGAUUACCCAGAUUAUGCAUGUUACUAAGAAAGAGUGUACAGAGUUGGGAUUUUAUAGGCUAAAGGAUGUGGUAUAUGAUUGGGUGUUUAUAUGGAAGAAUGACAGAGGUGAAAAUGCAGAUCUUAUGAGUUGGCAGGUAAUUCAGGAUGCAUUUUUAGAUAGUUUUUUUUGCAUAAAAUGAGAGAAGAUAAGGUAGAGAAUUUUGUGAACCUGAGGCAGGGCUCGAUGACAGUGAAAGAGUACUACCUUAAGUUCAACCAGUUAUCUAAGUAUGCCCCUGAUAUGAUGGUUGACCCUUGGGAAAGUAUGAGUAAGUUUGUUACUGGAGUAUCUAGUUUAGUAGUCAAGGAGUGUAGGACUGCUAUGCUUAUAGGGGAAAUGGAUCUUAUGAGGUUGAUAAUUCAUACAUAACAGACUUAGGUAAAAAAGUUAAAAGGGAGAGAGAGGGGAAAUAAGAAGGCUAGAACUAGGCAAUUUUAGUAUGGCUAGAUAGAUUGGGAGAGGCAAACUAUUUACAGUUUCAUAAUCGUUCAUCUAUGCUAGCGCCAUCUUCAUCCAGUUCUCCCACCCCUAAAGCUAGACAAGAGCAGUGAGGUAAGACUUCUAUGUCUAGAUCUCAUAAUAGUAUGAGUGGAAAUCCCAAUUAUCCUCUAUGUGCUAAGUAUGGUAAGAAUCAUCUUGGUGAGUAUUUGUUGGGAUAGAAAGGUUGUUAUGGUUGCGGUAAGUUGGGACAUAGAAUUAAAGAGUGUCCUCAUGUUGAGCAGGGAAAUAGGGAUGUUCGUCCCCAGACUUAGGCUACUUGUGGACCAGCUCCUCUAGGUUGCCCAGUUCCUCCUCAGGGCGCAUCAUCCAAUACCACUGGCGGUUAGUGCCAAAAUCGAUUUUAUACUUUACCAUCCCAUCAAGAGCAGGAUAGUUCACCAAAUAUUGUCACUGGUAUUCUUUGUGUCUUUCAUCUUGAUGUUUAUGUGUUGUUAGACCUUGGGUCAAAUUUCUCUUAUGUGACCUUACUAGUUGCAUUAAAGUUUUAAAUAGGUCUUGAAAAAAUCCCUGAGCCCUUCUUAGUUUCUACCCUAGUAGGUGAUUCAAUUGUUGCCAAAUAGUUCUAUAAAAAGUGUCCUAUCACCCUUCUUCAUAAAAUCAUAUUAGCAGAUUUAAUAGAGUUAGAUAUGGUCGACUUUGACCUUAUUCUUGGUAUGGAUUAUAUCUAUUCCUAUUAUACAUCCAUAGAUUUUCACACCCAAAUAAUGAAGUUUCUAUUUACAGAUGAGCCAGUCUUUGAGUGGGAAGGCAAUUCAGUGUCUCCCAAGAGUCAUUUCAUAUCCUAUAUUAAAGACAGAAAGUUGAUCUCAUAAGGGUGUAUCUAUCAUCUAGUUCGAUUCAAAGACACUAGUCUGAGACUCAAAUAGUCAGUCAGUUCAUGUAGUCAAUGAGUUUCUAGAUUUUUUUCCUUAAGAUUUGCCAGGGGUACCUCCUGAUAGGGGAAUAGAAUUUGGUAUUGACCUUCUUCCAGAUACUCAGUCCAUCUCCAUUUCUCUAUAUAAUAUCGCUCUAUUCAAGCAUAAAGAGUUAAAACAAUAGCUUAAAUACCUCUUAGAUAAAGGUUUUAUAAGGACCAGUGACUCUCCAUUGGGUGCUCCUGUCCUAUUCGUGCAAAAGAAAGAUGGUUCUUUGUGAAUGUGCAUUGACUAUCAUUAGAUAAAUACAUUUACAGUCAAAAACAAAUAUCCUCUUCCUAGGAUUGAUUAAUUAUUCGACCAGCUCCAAGGUGAAAGUUAUUCCUCCAAGAUAGACCUUAGAUCCAGCUAUCAUCAGGUUAGAAUAAGGGAAGGUGAUAUUACAAAGAUAAUUUGCAGAACCUGCUAUGGUUAUUUUGAGUUUCUAGUCAUGUAAUUUGGUCUUACCAAUGCCCCAGCAGCCUUCAUGGACUUGAUGAACAGAGUGUUCAAAUAGUAUUUGGACAUGUUUGUCAUAGUUUUUAUCGAUGAUAUUUUUGUCUAUUCUCAUAGUGAGGAUGAUCAUGCAGACCAUCUUAGAAUUGUGUUGCAAAAUCUUAAGGAUCACCAGUUGUUUGUGAAAUUCAGCAAAUGUGAAUUUUGGAUAAGAUUAGUAGAUUUCCUCGGUCAUAUUGUUUCCACUGAUGGCAUUAGAGUUGAUAUCCAAAAGACAGAAGCAAUAUAAAACUAUCCUAGACCUAUCUCUCUAUCAAACAUUCAAAGUUUCUUAGGUUUAGCUGGAUAUUAUAGAUACUUUAUUGAUGUUUUUUUUAUUAUAUCCCUUAUAUCCAGAUUAACUCAGAAGAAAGUUAAGUUUUAGUGGUCAGAUUCCUAUGAGAAGACUUUUUAGGAGUUGAAGACUUAACUCAUCUCAGCCCCAGUUUUAGCAUUACCUGAUAGUACAAAUGUAUUCGUUGUAUAUUGUGAUGCCUCUAGAAUUGGUCUGGUUUGUGUUUUGAUGUAUAGAGGUAAGUUUAUAGCCUAUGUCUCUAGACAACUUAAGCCUCAUGAAAAUAACUACCCUACCAUAAUCUUUAGUUAGAAGCUGUUGUGUUUGCCUUGAAGAUCUGGAGGCACUAUCUUUAUAGGGUGUAUAUUGAUGUAUUUAUGGAUCACAAAAGCUUGCAAUGUGUGUUUAAUCGAAAGGAGUUAAAUCUUUAUCAUAGAAGAUGACUAAAAUUGUUGAAGGGUUAUGAUAUGAGUGUGUUGUAUCAUACGAGCAAGGAACAUGUAGUGGCAUAUGACCUUAGUAGAUUGUCUAUAGGCAGUAUUGCUCAUGUGGAGAAUGAUUAGAGAGAGUUAUUUCGGGAAGUUCAUCGGUUAGCUAGAUUGGUUGUAAGGUUGGUUGACUCGGCUGAAGGAAAUAUUUGGGGUCAGAGUAGCUCAGAAUCCUCUCUAGUUUUUGAAGUUAAAGAGAAGCAUGAUAAGGAUCCUAGUUAGGUCAAACUGAAGGUUUCAAUUAAAGAUAAAAAGGUAGAGGUUUUCUCCCAAGGGGGAGAUGGUGUGUUGAGAUACCAGAGUAGAUUGUGUUGCCAUGUGUUGACAAUUUUAGGCAUUAAAUUGUAGCAGAAGCGCAUGGUGCACAUUAUUCCAUUCAUCCAAGAUCCUCCAAGAUGUACCACGAUCUGUGAGAAGUCUAUUAGUGGUGUGAUAUGGAGAAAGAUAUCACAAAAUUUGUAGCCAAGUGUGUGACUUAUCAACAGGUUAAGGUAGAGCACCAAAGACCUGGUGGUACUUUUUAGGAGUUUGGUUUUCCUAUAUGGAAGUGGGAAGAGGUGAAUAUGGACUUUAUGACUGGAUUAACCCAUUCACGUUGUCAGCAUGAUUCGAUUUGUGUUAUUGUAGACAAAUUGACCAAAGCAGCCCAUUUCUUACCAGUUAACACGUCCUACACAACUUAAGAUUAUGCUAAGAUGUAUAUCAGAGAGUUGGUUAGAUUGCAUAGAGUUCCCUUGUCCGUCAUCUCAAAUAGGGGUACUCAUUUUAUCUCUCAAUUUUGGAAAGCCUUUCAGAAGGGUCAUGGUACCCAAGUUUAUCUCAGUUUAGCUUUUCAUCCACAGAUAGAUGGCCAGGAAGAGAGGACCAUUCAUACCUUAGAGGAUAUGUUGAGGGCAUAUGUUCUUGAUUUCAGAGGCAGUUGGGAUGACCACUUUCUAUUGAUUAGUUUGCCUAUAAUAACAGUUACCAUUCUUAUAUUUAGAUGGCCCUGUUUGAGGCUCUUUAUUGGUAGAGAUGUAGAUCAUCAUUCGGUUGGUUUGAAGUGGGUGAGGCCGCUUUGAUUGGGACAGAUAUAGUGUUUGAAGACAUGGAGAAAGUUCAAUUUAUUCGAGAGAGAUUGAAGGCAGCUCACAAUCGUCAAAAAUCUUAUAUAGACAUAAGAAGGAGAGAUUUUGUGUUUGAAGUAGAUGAUCUUGUGUAUUUGAAGGUUUCACCCAUGAAGGAGUGAAGAGAUUUGGCAAAAAGGGUAAGCUUAGUCCCUGAUAUGUAGGCCCCUACAAGAUUUUGAGUUGUGUGGGAAAGGUAGCAUAUGAGCUUGAGCUAUAUGCAUACUUGUCAGCAGUUCACCUAGUGUUCCAUAUGUCCUUAUUGAAGAAGUGAAUGGACGAUUCAUCUAUUGUAAUCCCUCUAUAACGCACAGAUAUUAAGAAUAACCUUUCAUACAAAGAAGUUCUAGUAGAGAUUCUCGAUCAUCAGAUUUGUAUACUAAGGAACAAAAAAUUUCCUUUGGUUAAAGUUCUGUGAAAAAAUCAGUUCGUUGAGGGUGGUACUUGGGAAGCAGAAGCAGACAUGCGUACCAAGUAUCCUUACCUAUUCUCUGCAAAGUCAGAUUCAUCCUGAGGUAACAGUCUUCCUUAAUUCAGUUCUUUUCCAGUCUCAGAUUCAGCCAUAUAGUUAUCUUCAUAUAAAUUUAUGAAUUCACCGAUUAGUUCAAUUUCUCAGUAUGAUUUAGAUUCAUUCAUGCAGAUUUGCUUCAGUUUUUCAUGCUAUCAUUUAGCCUUAGUCCCCCAGAAUCUUCCGUUUAACUAGUCUCAUUCGAGGAUGAAUAUUUCUAAGAGGGAGAUAUUGUGAUAUCCCAUACUUUUUCCUAGCUCAGUUUAGCUCCUAUAAUUUCAAGGGUCAACUUUAAAAAUAGAUAACUCUUGAUACGAGUAGAAUUUUCCAGUUAUAGAUAAUUCAACCAGCUUUUCAAUGAUACCAAUUUUGCCUCAAUCCAAUUCUCGCUUAAGAAGUUAUGGAAAUUUUAGUGAAAAUAGUAAAACACCACGAUAAGCACCGCAUCACGGUGAAGGAUAAAUUUGCAAUCGUAUGAUUUCCAGUAGAGCACCGUGACUAUCCUAUGUCAUGAAGAAGUUCCAGUUUCCAUUCAUCCCUUUCUAGUAGCUCUACACGAUUUGCUUGUAUCACAUCAAAAUUCCCAAUUAGACAGACAUCGCAUCAUGAUAGAGUGCAUAAUGGCACUCGUCCUUUUCCAUUGACGCAAUGCUAUUAUGCCGCAUCGCGUCAGUGGCUAAAAUAGCAUUCUUCCAUUUUCCAGUAAGCCACCGCGGCUGUACCGCAUUGUGGUGGGGCUCAAAAUUGGGAUUUCUAGUUUUUAGUAAAAUUUUAAACAAGGGCAAUUUAGUCAUUCCCCAAGCCUCCAAAUCGUGAGAAACAAGGAAUUUAACCUAUCCUAAGCACAUUAUGCAUACUUUUCAUUAAAAUUACUCUCCAAGAAAAUCCUAGAACUCAAAUCUUAAACGUUAAGAAAUCUAAAUUUCACCAUUCUUUUUCCAAGAUAACCCGAAAUUCAAGAUUUCUAAUUCAAGAUAUUCAAGAAAUCAUCUUCAAAAGCACAAAUAGGAAUUCAAGUUCAAGUUUCUUUGUCAAUUUCACCAGUUAAGGUAUAUGGGGUUUUCAACAAGGAUAAUUCUUUCAUCUUUGUAUCCAAAAUUAGUUUUAAAGUUUAAUUCUAUAUGAAAUUAUAUGAAUUUCAGUUUAGGGUUUAUACCAAUGUAUUAAAAUUUGAAGAUUAUGAGAUUUUGAGAGAUUUAGAUGUUUAAUUGCAUGUCUACUUUCGUAUUUUUAUGCAUAUUACUGAAAUUGCCAGAUUUUGAAUUGCAUUAUCAAUAUUUUCAUUAUAAAUCAUGAACUUUAUGAUGAUUUGACAUGAAUUUAAUGCAUGGGUUGUUAAGCCCUAGUUGAACAGUGAUAUUUUAAUAAUGACAAUGCUUUAAGCAUCCUAUAAUUAGUUAUUUUCAGAUUGUUAUAAAGAUUUGAUCUUUGAUCCUCUAUUAAGAUAUGGAAUCCAAUUUACAGUUUUAUUAUAGUUUACAAAAAAUAAAUUUAGCUUUGCUUACAGUUUGAAAUAGAUAGAUGCAUAAUUCGUUUUCAUUAUAAACCCUUAUGCUAGUUUUAAAAGUAGAUGUCCAACUGAAUGAGCAUAUUGAUUAAAGGGGGUAGUAUUUAGCACCUAGUUGGGUAUGUUCUCAUGUCCCGAAAAUACAAUCCAACAUAGGUACAAAUUAUCAUAUUAUUCCCAUUUCUACAUGGAUGACAGUUACAGAUGUGAUCACUUAGAUUAGGUUAUACUCCUUGAUAAGAGUAUGACAUCUCUCCCCAACGUGAGGUUUUCCCAUAAGGGAACUAGAUGUUUGACACUAUGAUAGCUCACAUAGUGUAUGUCGGUUAGAAUAAUCUCCCUACAACUUACAAAAAAGAGUAAAGAAUUAUAGAAAAGCUUUUAUUUAGAUAUUGUUUUAUAUACGUCAUUAUCUACUAGAUUUCAACUUUUAGUUUACAGAUAUAAAAGUUAGUCCUUUCUACAUUUAUACAGUAUGAUUUCCAGAUAGAAUACAAGUACAACUUUUAGAACUAAUUAUUAUGACUCACUAGAUUUAUAUAGCAUGUUUUAUCACUCAUGAUCCUCAUAUAUGUUUAUGUGCUACGUUGUCUCAUAAUAUAGGUUCAGGUGCUUAGUUUCAGCUGUGUGAGUGAUUUCAAGAAUCUCCAUCUACAUCCCGACAGUUGGUGAGUCAUCAUAGUUUUGGGACCCAGUCAUUCAAAUUUUCUAGUUUAUUAUAGUUGUUGAUUCAGUAAUUUUCAAUCAGUUCAAGUCAGCUGGGGACUUAUCCCAGUGACUCUCUAGUUUUUAAUAGUAAAGGAUAGUUAGAAUGCUAGACAUAGUUCAUAAUUUUAAUAUUUCUUUACCAUACUUUCAGUCUAAUAUUUUCAUGUAGUAUGUUUAGAUAAUUUCAGCUUUGAUCAGAC
RNAcentral lists this long non-coding RNA (12248 nucleotides) under Capsicum annuum. RNAcentral's name for it is "long non-coding RNA (CANN_LNC018914)". The record is from RNAcentral. Lineage: Eukaryota; Viridiplantae; Streptophyta; Magnoliopsida; Solanales; Solanaceae.